GCGAGAUACUUGGGCGGAAGGCCCGGAUUGUCGCGCUUGUUUUACAUCUAGCUACCUACACUGUGUGUCUGAGGCCUGGAGAAUUCCACUGCGGCUCAGGGAUGCCGAGGCCAGGACACUGUGGAGUUACCCAUAUCUUCAAAUGAAACGUUCUUCCGAGCAGCAUUGUAUAUGCAGUCGUGAUCAUGAUGAUGUAAUUACUGAGUAACUCCGACGUUGAAUUCUGGGCAAUCUUCUGUUUCCUCUUUCCAAAACAAAAUCCUACAACAUCGGGUGGAAGAGCAACGCGCAACUGGCGAGUGGGGCAACAAUAAUGCGAUUCAUACAGCCGCAGAACUAUGUUCCGGAAAUGGCGGUGGAUAUUAACUGUUGCUCCUAUCCCAACGCAGACUUUGUUUAUGAUUAAAAUAUAUAACUUAAUUUUAUUAUUCCUGCUCUCGUUGUUCUGCAUUACUUGUAUAACUGAAGACAUGGGGGAACAGAGAACGCCUUAUGGACAACUUAAAAUUACAGUGGAAGAGCGAAGUUUCAGCUGUCUACUAUAUGACCUGUACCGUUCAAAUAGAAAAAAUCAAAUUUUAAUUUAAUGCUGAAACAACGGAGAAGCUCCGUAUUGGUUGCAGCAUUUCUGUUAAAACCUCUGUGAAAAAUGUGUGUGAUGUCUGACUAUGUAUGUGAAGGCAGUUUCUAAGACUGAUCGAUGUUUAUUAAAGCCACAAAUGUGCCUUCAGAACAACAGUGUACUCAGUUAAACAUUCGAGUGUGAUUUAUUUUGUUUCUGUAAUUGGUGAUAAUUAAGAUUAAUUGACAAAACAGGCACAGCUAUCCAAUUGAUUAAUUAAUUGUCCCUGCGUUGCGCGUUUGCAACACAACAGAGUAUAUCUAAAUAGCACAAGGUUAUUUGAAACAAUAGGUUAAACAGUUUAGACCAAGUGUAUAUUAUAUUGGCGUAAUCAACAAAAAUACACUAAAUUUACAAAGGUCCUGCCGAGUUGCCAUUCUUCAAACUAACAUCAAUCAAUCAGCUGCCAAACAGCUCCUCCCUGAUGAGAGCACUCGGGGUAAUUUAACUGGUAAUUUCAUCCACUGUUCGCGUUUAUUCACUGCAAGAUGCAUCGUUUAACCUGAAUCGACUAGAUUCUUUGGAGUAAAUUUCGCGCCUCGAUACCAAAGAAUUGCGGGACGCGGUUUUAAUUAAGAGAAAGACCUGAAUUUCAGGUCUAUGUGGUAGUCAUUCACGUGAUGUGGACUGCUAAUUGGAUAUGUGAAAUCAUAAAGUUUUGGCUGAAGAAAUAUAAUGUUGAUUUUUAGUUUUAUUAAAUCGAAUGUAAUGUGGAGAAUUCAAGCAGAUUAAUUUAUCAAUCCAGCUAUUUGAUGCUGGAAAUGUACAGGUUGCCUAUCUCAUUGCAUUUUCUAUUUUGAACAUUCCGAAGUAUUUCUUAAUACCUAUCGCAAUUAAGAACAGAAAAUAUGAAAUACACAGUCGAUCAGUCAGCAUCUGAGAAGAGAAAUACAAGCAAUAAAUAUUAUCAGACUGAUUUGUUUUUUAACCAAUCAUUUUCAGCCCUUGAGCGAUUCUAAGCACUGAACGCAAUCGUUUCACAAAAUCACACUUUGUUUCAGAUUUGCACAAUUUUUUAGCGAUGCGGAUACAAUCAGAACAAUUACAAAAAUCAAUGGACAUGGGUCGGUCAAUUUGAAAACAGUAGCAUUCAAGACACAAUCUCUUUCUCUUGAACAGAAUGUGAUGCCACGAUUAGGUGCCAAGAUUUUACGUGAAAUCAAGCAACGAUUGAGUUGCAUACCCGAGAAAGUUAAAUGCAUCUUAAUCAAUGCAUGGAUUUAAGUACGUUUGAUAACAAAAUGACGGGAGUGAAAUAAUAAUGUCGGUGCAAGUACCAAGUGUGUACAUUUUUGGAGCCAUAAAACAGUUUGGCAUUGUAGGUUUGGCUAUGGUUAGAAAAGCGUAUU
Chiloscyllium plagiosum (whitespotted bambooshark) is the source of this 1971-nucleotide non-coding RNA. Lineage: Eukaryota; Metazoa; Chordata; Chondrichthyes; Orectolobiformes; Hemiscylliidae. The record is from RefSeq and is a predicted model, not a curated record.